RNAcentral lists this ribosomal RNA (433 nucleotides) under uncultured bacterium. Its description in RNAcentral is "partial 16S ribosomal RNA". It matches the Rfam family "Bacterial small subunit ribosomal RNA", at positions 29 to 507 of the family's 1533-position model. The record is from RNAcentral.
AACGAACGCUGGCGGCAUGCCUAACACAUGCAAGUCGAACGAGACCUUCGGGUCUAGUUGCGCAGCUGUGCGUACCGCGUGGGAACUAGCACUUAGGUUCGGAAUAACUCCCCGUAAGGGGUGCUCAUACAGGUUAAUGUCUUCGGACCAAAGAUUUAUUGCCUUUGGAUGGGGCCGCGUUGGUUUAGCCAGUUGGUAGGGGAAAAGCCUACCAUGGAGACGAUCCAUAGCUGGUCUGAGAGGAGGAUCUACCAGGCUGGGACUGAGACACGGCCCAGACCGCUACGGAACGCUGCAGUGGAGUAUAUUAUGCAAUGAGCGAAGGCCUAACACAGCAAUGCCGCGGAUGUGAUGAAGGCCUUAGUGUUGUAAAGCUCUUUUACCCGGGAUGAUAAUGACGGUACCGGGUGAAGAAGCACCGGCUAACUCCGUG